UACGUAGGGGGCAAGCGUUGUCCGGAUUUAUUGGGCGUAAAGAGCGUGUAGGCGGUCAGGUAGGUCCGUUGUGAAAACUCGAGGCUCAACCUCGAGACGCCGAUGGAAACCAUCUGACUAGAGUCCGGAAGAGGAGAGUGGAAUUCCUGGUGUAGCGGUGAAAUGCGUAGAGAUCAGGAAGAACAUCGGUGGCGAAGGCGCUCUGCUGGACCAUAACUGACACUCAGGGACGAAAGCUAGGGGAGCGAAUGGG
RNAcentral lists this ribosomal RNA (253 nucleotides) under uncultured bacterium. RNAcentral's name for it is "partial 16S ribosomal RNA". It matches the Rfam family "Bacterial small subunit ribosomal RNA", at positions 524 to 776 of the family's 1533-position model. The record is from RNAcentral.